Equus caballus (horse) is the source of this 527-nucleotide long non-coding RNA. RefSeq lists it as uncharacterized. The record is from RefSeq and is a predicted model, not a curated record. NCBI's taxonomy places the organism in Eukaryota, Metazoa, Chordata, Mammalia, Perissodactyla, Equidae.
GCCGCACUUCCGGUCCCGGCGGCCCUCGCGCCGCUGCGCAUGCGUAUGUGUCCUCGUUGUACCCGCCCCUCCCCGGUUACUCCCGCUGCGCAUGCGCGGAACAGAGCCCGCAGGAAGGGAGGGGGCUCGGGCUUCCAGCCCACCGAGGGCGGUCUCCGGGAGGCUUGGGCUGGCAGUGUACGGUGCCGGAGGAGAGCAAUGAAGACGACGGGCCGCGGCCCGGGCUGGUAGGGGGCAGCAAGAAAGUUCCAGCUCGAAGGGUCACAGGAAAAUCCGAGAAGGGCGAUGAAUAGGACAGGCUGACCACAGGUGGGAAACAGACCUACAAGGUAGCCAUCACAGCUGACAGAAGAAUGGAACAAUGCGAUGCCUGGUGACCGACAUCCCUGGACCCCAUCCUCACUGCCCGUUUUCUCUAUAUAACUGCCUCAAGAUUCUGUAAUCCUUGAAGAUUGGUUUUUGACACAUUAGUCACCCAUGUUCCGAUUUGCCAGCUAAUCUAAUUAAACUUCCUUUCUCAGCUAAGA